GGUAAGCUUCGUACGUGACCUGCGGAGGACAUUAUCGAAUUAUAGGCGAGGGUUGUAGCUGGCCUCUCGAGGCACGUGCACGCCCGAGCCCUUGAAUCCCACGACACACCUGUGAACCCACCGUAGGCCUUCGGGCUUAUGCAUCGUUAAUAUUACGCCGUAUGUGACAUAGAAUGUUAGAGACGAAUGGGAAAAAAAUGAUAAUACAACUUUCAACAACGGAUCUCUUGGCUCUCGCAUCGAUGAAGAACGCAGCGAAAUGCGAUAAGUAAUGUGAAUUGCAGAUUUUCAGUGAAUCAUCGAAUCUUUGAACGCACCUUGCGCCCCUUGGUAUUCCGAGGGGCAUGCCUGUUUGAGUGUCAUUAAAUCCUCAACCCCUCAGGGGGCUUGGACUUUGGAGCGUGCUGGCGGUGAUCGUCGGCUCCUCUUUAAAUGCAUCAGCGGAACCCUCGUUCCCCGUUUCGGCGUGAUAGAUUUAUGUUGCGCCGCGUAGGGGGGGCGGUCAAGUGGUUUUUCCGCUUCCAAUCGUCCUCGGACAAAAAAUGUCGUUGACAACUUUGACCUCAAAUCAGGUGGGACUACCCGCUGAACUUAUGCAUAUCACUAAGCGGGAGGGAGAA
Molecule: ribosomal RNA, 620 nt
Filed under: uncultured fungus
Lineage: Eukaryota; Fungi
Description: eukaryotic LSU rRNA
Rfam family: 5.8S ribosomal RNA (bases 208-362)
Source: RNAcentral